UGGGGAAUUGUUCGCAAUGGGCGCAAGCCUGACGACGCAACGCCGCGUGUGGGAUGAAGGUCUUCGGAUUGUAAACCACUGUCGCGAGGGACGAAGCUCUGACGGUACCUCGAAAGGAAGCACCGGCUAACUCUGUGCCAGCAGCCGCGGUAAUACAGAGGGUGCGAGCGUUGUCCGGAAUCACUGGGCGUAAAGGGCGCGUAGGCGGCCCGGUAAGUAGGGGGUGAAAUCUCAUGGCUCAACUGUGAGGCUGCCUUCUAGACUGCCAGGCUUGAGCACAGUAGAGGCGAGUGGAAUUCCGAGUGUAGAGGUGAAAUUCGUAGAUAUUCGGAAGAACACCAGUGGCGAAGGCGACUCGCUGGACAAGUAUUGACGCUGAGGUACGAAAGCGUGGGGAGCAAACAGGAUUAGAUACCCAGGUAGUCCCUGAGCGGGCUGGCAAGGCGCAU
Molecule: ribosomal RNA, 449 nt
Filed under: uncultured bacterium
Lineage: Bacteria
Description: bacterial SSU rRNA
Rfam family: Bacterial small subunit ribosomal RNA
Source: RNAcentral